CUUCAAGGGAGUUUUACUGGACAGGUAAGCAGCAUGAGGAUUAUGUGCAUUCAGCUACAGUAUUAAGCUGCUACAUGUAGAAGAUCUUAUUCCUGUAGUAGUUUUUAUUUUUUAAAUAUUUCUCAUUUAACAUUUUUUCUUGUGUUUGAAAAUUCAGGGAGGAGUAGUCAUGGCCAAUAAACCAGAAGGAAAAAAUAAGGGUGAACAAAGAAAAUUAAGUGAUGAGUUGAGCUCCCUCUGGAUCCAUCACAUUCUCACAAGCAUUUCUCUGAAUAUGGUGAUUCUUCCAGAUGAAGAGAAAAAGGAGAAAAAAAAAGAAAGGAAAAAAAAAAGAAACGGAAAGGAAAGUUAAAAUAAGUCUGUUUUUUGUUGUUGUUCUUGGUGUUUUGUUUUUUUUUUUCUGGCAGGUAAAAAGAAAUAGAUUUUCAGUUUUCUGUUGAAAUGUCAUUGUCAGAUAAAGAUUACAGUUCAUAUAGAAAAAGGGAGAGUUGAGAUGACUGUGUUAAUCCUGAUAAUCAGAAUCAAUUUUAAAGUCAUCUCCAAAUCCAUACACACAAGCCAUGAAUACCAGUUAAAUCUGAUUCUCGGCCUCAGGUCCACGCA
This 603-nucleotide long non-coding RNA is filed under the name Anser brachyrhynchus (Pink-footed goose). Its description in RNAcentral is "lncRNA (ENSABRG00000021156.1)". The record is from RNAcentral. Lineage: Eukaryota; Metazoa; Chordata; Aves; Anseriformes; Anatidae.